Molecule: ribosomal RNA, 511 nt
Filed under: uncultured bacterium
Lineage: Bacteria
Description: bacterial SSU rRNA
Rfam family: Bacterial small subunit ribosomal RNA
Source: RNAcentral
AAUGAACGCUGGCGGCGUGCUUAACACAUGCAAGUCGAACGCGAAAGGGACUUCGGUCCUGAGUAAAGUGGCGCACGGGUGAGUAACGCGUAGAUAACCUGUCUUCAUGUCUGGAAUAAUACGCCGAAAGGGGUACUAAUACCGGAUAUUCUUGCUUUUCAUAAGUUAUGCAAGCAAAGGUGGCCUCUGCAUAUGCUACUGCAUGAAGAGGGGUCUGCGUACCAUUAGCUAGUAGGUGGGGUAAUGGCCUACCUAGGCGACGAUGGUUAGCGGGUCUGAGAGGAUGAUCCGCCACACUGGCACUGGAACACGGGCCAGACUCCUACGGGAGGCAGCAGUGAGGAAUAUUGCGCAAUGGGGGAAACCCUGACGCAGCGACGCCGCGUGAGUGAGGAAGGCCCUUCGAGUCGUAAAGCUCUGUCAAGAGGAAAGAAGUGUACAAUGGCUAAUACCUGUUGUAUUUGACGGUACCUCUAAAGGAAGCACCGGCUAACUCCGUGCCAGCAGCAGC